RNA transcript from Brassica rapa (field mustard), 2582 nucleotides. It is a transcript of the gene named transcription initiation factor TFIID subunit 5, with no coding region annotated. Lineage: Eukaryota; Viridiplantae; Streptophyta; Magnoliopsida; Brassicales; Brassicaceae. The record is from RefSeq and is a predicted model, not a curated record.
UACUUCUCCUCCUUACAUACAAUGUAACAUGUUUUGACAAAAACUUAUAUGGGCCUUUAUAAACAGGCCCAAUUAAAUACAAGGCCUUUAAACUAAUCGAAACUGGUUCGCCCAUAACAUCAUACCUCAGAAUUUAACGAAAUGUAUUAAGCAAUUAGAGAGCAAGAAGAACUCAGCGAGUGAGAGUUUUGAAUCGAGAGAGCGAGAAUGGAUCCAGAGCAAGUAGACGAGUUCGUCAUGGGCUACUUGAAGAAGAAAGGCUUCAACAGCGCUGCUAAACAUCUCCAAGAAUCUCUUCACAAUAACAAUGGCAGCACCUUCAGCUCUAUCGAUUAUCACAACGACCCUGAGCUCAACAAGCUCAUCCGCUCCUUUUCCCAAUCAGAGAAUGAUCCAUCUCGGUACCGUGAAGGUUACAGCAAGCUAAGGUCAUGGGGUUAUAACUCACUGGAUCUUUAUAAGCAUGAGUUGGUUCGAGUGAUGUAUCCUGUGUUUAUUCAUUGUUACAUGGAUCUAGUGGGGAAAGGGCACACUCAAGAAGCGAGAUCCUUCUUUAACAGCUUCCGCAAGGAUCAUGAAAUGGUACAUCUACGGGAUCUUCAGAAGCUGGGAGGCGUUCUUGCUCCAUCUCAUCUACAGGAAAUGGAGUUUGCUCGUUCUCUUAGACAAAGCAAGAUCAACAUCAAAAUUUGUCAGUAUUCGUAUGAUUUAUUGCUUCAGUACCUACAUAGAACAGAGUCUACUCUAAUGCUUGGUAUUAUCAACGAGCACAUCAAUUUCCAAGUCUACUCAGGACAGCCUAACUCCGCAUCUGAUGACAUAGAAGCUGUCACCAUUGUUGGGAGUUUUCAUGAGACAGCUGAUCACGUCAAUCAAAAAGAAAUACACUGGGGAUUGCUUGAGGACUCGCUGGAAGAUCGCCUGGAGAAGACGGGAGGUCUACUGUCUGAUUCCGAGAAGGGACAAGGAGAAAGUAAAGCUGGGGAUAUGGAUGAUAGUAAGAAAAGAUCCGCCGAAAUUGGAAAGCAAGGCUCUUCCAUAAAGAAGUUAAAGAAGGACAAAGCAGGAACUGCAACAACAAAAGUUGCACGUCAGGAGACCAGCACGGUGUUGUCGUCGAUGCCACGUGUGAAACCGGAACUCGCCAUGCCAGUAAUGUCUGCGGAUGUAGAGGAAUCGAUCCUUGAAGACCUGAGAAACCGUGUGCAGUUGAGUAGCAUCGCAAUGCCGUCUGUCAGCUUUUACACAUUUGUUAAUACUCAUAACGGGUUAAACAGUUCAUCUAUAUCUCAUGAUGGAUCUCUGGUUGCUGGUGGGUUCUCAGAUUCAUCAAUAAAGGUCUGGGACAUGGCGAAGAUAGGACAAGCUGGCAGUUGUGCGUUGCAGGAUGAAAAUAAUCAAACCGUUGGACUAAAUGGCAGAAGAAAUUAUACAUUAUUAGUGGGACACUCAGGGCCAGUUUACUCGGCCACUUUCAGUCCUCCAGGAGAUUAUGUUUUAUCUUCUUCAGCAGAUACAACAAUAAGGCUGUGGAGCACAAAAUUAAAUGCCAAUCUUGUGUGUUACAAGGGUCAUAAUCACACUGUAUGGGAUGCCCAGUUUAGCCCUUUUGGGCAUUACUUUGCAAGCUGUUCUCAUGAUCGUACUGCGCGGAUUUGGUCAAUGGAUAGAAUGCAACCUCUGCGGAUGAUGGCAGGGCAUCUCUCUGAUGUUGAUUGUGUACAGUGGCAUCCUAAUUGUAACUACAUUGCAACCGGUUCUAGUGAUAAGACGGUGAGACUCUGGGAUGUACAAACAGGGGAAUGUGUCAGGAUAUUCAUUGGACACAGGAGCAUGGUUUUGUCAUUGGCGAUGUCACCAGAUGGGAGAUAUAUGGCCUCUGGUGAUGAAGAUGGAACCAUAAUGAUGUGGGACCUCUCAACAGCUCGCUGCAUCACACCUCUCAUGGGCCAUAACUCAUGUGUCUGGACUCUCUCUUACAGCGGUGAGGGCUCUCUUCUGGCUUCUGGAUCUGCGGACUGCACAGUGAAACUGUGGGACGUCUCCUCAAGUACCAAAUUGACAAAGGCCGAAGAAAAGUGAAAAUGGGAACUCAAACAGACUGCGAUCACUCAGAACUUUCCCCACUAAGUCCACACCUGUUCACGCUCUCCGAUUUUCUCGGAGAAACCUGCUGUUUGCUGCAGGAGCGAUCUCUAAACCCUCAAGCUGAUGGAAACAAAUGGUAUAUGCUUUUACAUUCUUACAAACUGUUUGUAGAUCAAAAGAAAUCAGGUGAAGAAUAGUCCUCUUGAUAUUAUCAAUAUCUUUGAAUUCGAUCUGCACAUAUAAUUUUUACUGCAAAUUACAUCGGGUUAUAAUUUUGUUGUAAUUCAACUCUAAUAUAUCUUAAUACUGCAUGUCAGACACCAUUGGCUCUAUUUCUUGGUUUAUAAUGUUACAGUAGAAAGUUUGAUCGGUUUAAACAUGUUUGAAGACAUUUACUAAGAAAAUGUUGGACGAAGACAGAAAAUCUACCUUUGGUAGAUUUGAUUGAUAGACAAUUGUAUACUUUUUGGAAUUAUAUGUUUGGGAUGUGUUUC